This 347-nucleotide ribosomal RNA is filed under the name uncultured bacterium. Its description in RNAcentral is "partial 16S ribosomal RNA". It matches the Rfam family "Bacterial small subunit ribosomal RNA", at positions 338 to 682 of the family's 1533-position model. The record is from RNAcentral.
CCUACGGGAGACAGCAGUGAGGAAUAUUGGUCAAUGGGCGCGAGCCUGAACCAGCCAAGUCGCGUGAGGGAGGACGGCCCUACGGGUUGUAAACCUCUUUUGCCGGGGAGCAACGGGCGUCACGUGUGGCGCCACGGAGAGUACCCGGAGAAAAAGCAUCGGCGAACUCCGUGCCAGCAGCCGCGGUAAUACGGAGGAUGCGAGCGUUAUCCGGAUUUAUUGGGUUGAAAGGGUGCGUAGGCGGAUCGUUAAGUCAGUGGUCAAAUUGAGGGGCUCAACCCCUUCCCGCCAUUGAAACUGGCGCUCUUGAGUGGAAGCGAGGUAUGCGGAAUGCCUGGUGUAGCGGU